Molecule: long non-coding RNA, 601 nt
Filed under: Citrus maxima (pomelo)
Lineage: Eukaryota; Viridiplantae; Streptophyta; Magnoliopsida; Sapindales; Rutaceae
Description: long non-coding RNA (CMAX_LNC002970)
Source: RNAcentral
UUUUUGACAACCACGCCUAACCCAAUCAUCAUUUCUUCUGAAGUUGACAUUGCUGCAUGAGUAAAAAGGAAUAUUGAAAUUGAAUUAAUAAUUUGGAAGAAUAUCAUAACGCAAUUAAACAAAAACUGAAUAUUUUAUCUUUCCUACUCUCUCAAUAAUUUUGACUGCAUACUUUUUCUGAAAAAAAAAAAAAAAAACUCAUAUCUAGAUUCAGUCACAAAGCCAAAUCUCUCUAAUCAUACGUCUAUAUUAAGAAACACAAAUAAGAGAUUCCAAGAACUUGGUAACACCCUUUUGGAAUAAUUGAUUCUGGAUUUUCAUACUUGGAUAAUGGCUUUUGCUUGGAUACCUCUCCAAUCACUCCAACCCUUUCACACAAUUGAUUGAAUUUCACUUGCUUGAUUUAUAUUACAUCGAGAUUUUGAGCCCGGCAUGGUUAAGGAGUUUUAAAAGUGUAAAAAAUUGGGUGAUUGAAAAAUGAUAGAGCUGAAAAUGAGGGAAAAUUUAGAAUUAUGGGAAUUUUAUUGGGGAAGAAAAAGUAUUUUAAACUCAAUGAUGGGGUGAUUAAGAAAUAGACUGAAUAAAAAAUAAAAAGAAUUUG